GGAAUUAAAGAUAUUGAGUAUUGAGCAGACUGUUCCCCAUAAGCAAUUGUGUGCUUUGCUCGGAGCACGACAAUCUCGGCCUUGUGUUUUCGCUGCAUCUCCUACAUUCGUGCUUGAAUUUGUGCUUGCAUCUUCCUUAUCAACUUCAUUAGAUCCUGUUAGUCUCCCAUAUUUCUCGUGGUCGCCAUUGGGUUUCUUUGCUUGUUCUUGGGCCCCAUGGUGGGUGCCAAAAUGUUUCAGUAUGUAGGGUUAAAAGUCACACCUUCACAAUUUGGUCCAGUCACCUCUCUCCACUUCACUUUUCUUUUUUUUAU
Molecule: long non-coding RNA, 314 nt
Filed under: Vigna radiata
Lineage: Eukaryota; Viridiplantae; Streptophyta; Magnoliopsida; Fabales; Fabaceae
Description: long non-coding RNA (VRAD_LNC011341)
Source: RNAcentral